RNAcentral lists this long non-coding RNA (1120 nucleotides) under Bos indicus x Bos taurus (hybrid cattle). Its description in RNAcentral is "lncRNA (ENSBIXG00005031128.1)". Lineage: Eukaryota; Metazoa; Chordata; Mammalia; Artiodactyla; Bovidae. The record is from RNAcentral.
CGGGGGCUGGCGGCGGCGGCGGCGCGGGAGGGAGCCGGGCGUGCGGGUGAACUGGCAGGGCGGCUCCGCUCCGCAAGCAGAGAGAGCGCCGGGUUGCCGGAGCAGGUGAGGCCGGCACGGGCCCUUGGAUGCGCUCCGUGGGUUCCGAGGGAGGAAGGGAUCUGGGUCGGAGGGGCCCCGGGAAGCCGCGCGCUGCCUCCGCCAGGCGCCGGGUGGGCUUUACAGAGCCCGAGGCUCGGAGAGCCACAGUCGGCGCUGGUGCGGGGAACCCUGCCGCUGGAGCGGAUUUGGGCUCCCAUAGCCUCGGUGCUCUCUGUGCGCUGCAGGCAAAGGAGAGAAUCAAGGACUGCUUCAAGGUCAAGCUUCUUGACUAGAAGAUGGGAGUUGUUGCUGUGACUUACUGCUUUGUAGGGAUACAGUGAUGCCUGAGAAAAUCCUGAAAAGACCUGCACGUUCUUCAAAGAAGAAAUUUUUGCUCCCUACACCCUGUUGAGAGAUGGUCUGGUGAGGGAGGAGUGAGCACAGCUGUGAUUUCUGUCUUAAUGUGGGUCAUGCUAACUUGGAUAGACAUCCUUUAGUGACAGGUUCCUUGGCCUGGCCUGGACUGGAGGUAAGACUUCCCCAGAGUGUCUCUUUAAGGUUCUGAUACAUCUCACAAUGGCUUCAAAUGUAUGGACAUAGACAAGACUGGGGCUUCUGGGUCCUGAGAAUACACUGGGAAAGGAUUUGCAGAGCAUAUUCAGAUGCCUCCUUAGUUGAGAACAACCAGGAACUUCCUACUUCGGGCAGCGGAGAAGGCUUCUGCAGGGUGAACUUGCCAACGAACCAUCAAAGAGGAGGGUGCUUAUGAAUGGGGCUGUGUAAUCAUGGCCCUUGAGGUUUCUAGUUGUUUAAAUGUCACCCUUUAUUUGAAACUGAUUCUUGUCAGAUUCUGAAAACAGUUUGUCGGUGCAAUUGUGUACCAGUAUGGAGCUCUCUUAAAGUACAUUUCCUUUCAUUCAUGAAGCUAUUAAUGGGCAUUCAAUUAGUCGCUCAAUCAACUGCCAAGGAAACCACACUGAAAAUAGGGUAUGUAUUCAGAACAAAGAACUUCAACUCACUGCGAUAGUCAUAUCUCCUU